Long non-coding RNA from Stomoxys calcitrans (stable fly), 1085 nucleotides. RefSeq lists it as uncharacterized. The transcript is spliced from 2 exons. The record is from RefSeq and is a predicted model, not a curated record. NCBI's taxonomy places the organism in Eukaryota, Metazoa, Arthropoda, Insecta, Diptera, Muscidae.
UUAAACCGUAGCGCCGGCCGAACACGGUCUAACAUUUUCACACGUUUGACUUUGUUAAACAACUGAUUUUCUUUUCUUAAAUUUUCCGUUGAAUGAAAAUUAAUUAAACUUGGAAAAACGCAAGCCAAUCAAACAAAAGGGGGAAGAAAAAAUCUCAAUACUUAAUAAAGCCAUGUGAUUUGGAAAAAAGAGUAAAAAAAAUUGUUAAAAAAUAAUACUUGAAAAAAAUCUAGUUAAUCCAUUACCCGUCUAGAACGACUAACGAAAUAAUUAAAUAUUUUAAAGCCAAGCUUUAAAAUAGAAUUCUAGAGAGGGAGAGCCGUUAAGCAACGAACGCAAGAGCGGGCUUAGUUCAAAUAUUUGUUUUUACUGUGCGUGCCAGUGUUUGUGAGAUUUGUUUCAAGCGCUUCUUUGUUUUUAUUUUCGAAAUAUCUGUUUUUUCUUUGGUUUGGUUAUUUUUUUUUAAACAAAACACAAAACAACAACCAGCUUGUGACGUUUUAUUUUGGCAGAAAAAAAGGCAUCACUUUAACCGCAAUAAUUAUUCGGCUAGAGCAGAGAAUUAAAAAAAAAUGAUAAUAACAAAUAAAUUGAUAAUAAUACUACGCUUGAAUUGAAUUUGUUUAAAGUUUUUUUUUGGCGCCUUUGCUGUUCAGUGUCAAUGAAAAUCUAAGAAAAUUUAUUAACACACAAAACAAAAUGCCAAUAACAAUAACCGCAACUGCAGCAGCAGCAGUAGCAGUAGCUCUGGCAACAACAACUACAACACCACCUUUGAAAUUGUGUUAAAAUAAUAACAAAAGAAAUAAGGCUUUUUUGUUUUUGUUGCUUAAAUUUGUAAUUGAGCUGCUCGAUAUGCUCGACAUGUAAAUACUGCAUUGUGUGCUGCGAAAGCGAGAGCGUGUGUGAACGCGAUUGUUUUUGUUUUUUCUACACCUCGUAACGAUGGAGCGUAUGAGUGUUUUUAAUUAAAGAUGUUGAAAACGGAAAUAUGGCAUACAACUAUAUAAAAUCCUUAUGAAGUGAAUAACAUAAGCCGAAUAUCUUCAAUAAUAAAAAUUUGAAAAAUAAACACAAAAAAAAAA